RNAcentral lists this ribosomal RNA (436 nucleotides) under Campylobacter gracilis. RNAcentral's name for it is "bacterial SSU rRNA". It matches the Rfam family "Bacterial small subunit ribosomal RNA", at positions 29 to 480 of the family's 1533-position model. Lineage: Bacteria; Pseudomonadati; Campylobacterota; Epsilonproteobacteria; Campylobacterales; Campylobacteraceae. The record is from RNAcentral.
AGUGAACGCUGGCGGCGUGCCUAAUACAUGCAAGUCGAACGGAAUUUAAAAGAGCUUGCUCUUUUAAAUUUAGUGGCGCACGGGUGAGUAAUAUAUAGCUAAUCUGCCCCUUGCUGGAGGACAACAGUUAGAAAUGACUGCUAAUACUCCAUACUCCUUUUUACCAUAAGAUAAAUCGGGAAAGAAUUUCGGCAAGGGAUGAGACUAUAUCGUAUCAGCUAGUCGGUGGGGCAACGGCCUACCGAGGCUAUGACGCGUAACUGGUCUGAGAGGAUGAUCAGUCACAUUGGAACUGAGACACGGUCCAAACUCCUACGGGAGGCAGCAGUAGGGAAUAUUGCGCAAUGGGGGAAACCCUGACGCAGCAACGCCGCGUGGAGGAUGACACUUUUCGGAGCGUAAACUCCUUUUGUUAGGGAAGAAUAAGACGGUACCU